RNAcentral lists this ribosomal RNA (372 nucleotides) under uncultured organism. Its description in RNAcentral is "bacterial SSU rRNA". It matches the Rfam family "Bacterial small subunit ribosomal RNA", at positions 526 to 895 of the family's 1533-position model. The record is from RNAcentral.
CGGAGGAUCCAAGCGUUAUCCGGAAUUACUGGGCGUAAAGAGUUGCGUAGGCGGCCAAGUAAGUGGGUAGUGAAAUGAUGGGGCUCAACCCCAUGUCCAUUAUCUAAACUGCUAGGCUAGAGUAUGAGAGAGGUACCUGGAAUUUCUAGUGUAGGAGUGAAAUCCGUAGAUAUUAGAAGGAACACCGAUGGCGUAGGCAGGGUACUGGCUCAUUACUGACGCUCAGGCACGAAAGCGUGGGGAGCGACCGGGAUUAGAUACCCCGUUAGUCCACGCCGUAAACGAUGGAUGCUAGCUGUGUGUCGUAUCGACCCGAUACGUAGCGAAGCUAACGCGUUAAGCAUCCCGCCUGUGGAGUACGGCCGCAAGGCU